Podarcis lilfordi (Lilford's wall lizard) is the source of this 83-nucleotide non-coding RNA. NCBI's taxonomy places the organism in Eukaryota, Metazoa, Chordata, Lepidosauria, Squamata, Lacertidae. The record is from the annotation of a GenBank genome assembly.
GCCUUGGGGAGCAGAGAUAGCUCAGUAGGUAGAGCAUGAGACUCUUAAUCUCAGAGUCAUAGGUUCAUACCACACAUUGGGUA